GGUCACUUAUCACUUUCGCUUAGCCACUCAAACCGAAGUCCGAACAGCUAGUGACCAUCGUUUACGGCGUGGACUACCAGGGUAUCUAAUCCUGUUCGCUCCCCACGCUUUCGUCCAUCAGUGUCAGUAUAUUAUUAGUAAUCUGCCUUCGCAAUUGGGUAUUCUAUGUAAUAUCUAUGCAUUUCACCGCUACACUACAUAUUCUAACUACUUCAUAAUAACUCAAGAUAACCAGUAUCAAAGGCAAUUCUACAGUUGAGCUGCAGGAUUUCACCUCUGACUUAAUUAUCCACCUACGGACCCUUUAAACCCAAUGAUUCCGGAUAACGCUUGGAUCCUCCGUAUUACCGCGGCUGCUGGCACGGAGUUAGCCGAUCCUUAUUCUUACAGUACCGUCAAGCUGCUACACGUAGCAGUGUUUCUUCCUGUACAAAAGCAGUUUACAACCCAUAGGGCAGUCUUCCUGCACGCGGCAUGGCUGGAUCAGAGUUGCCUCCAUUGUCCAAUAUUCCUCACUGCUGCCUCCCGUAGGAGUCUGGUCCGUGUCUCAGUACCAGUGUGGGGGAUCCCCCUCUCAGGGCCCCUACCUAUCGUCGCCAUGGUGUGCCGUUACCACACCAUCUAGCUAAUAGGACGCAUAGUCAUCUCUUACCGUAAUCUUUAAUGUUGUCUUGAUGCCAAGUCAACAUACUAUAAGGU
This 699-nucleotide ribosomal RNA is filed under the name Flavobacteriaceae bacterium ACEMC 27-7. RNAcentral describes it as "partial 16S ribosomal RNA". The record is from RNAcentral. Lineage: Bacteria; Pseudomonadati; Bacteroidota; Flavobacteriia; Flavobacteriales; Flavobacteriaceae.